AAUAUGGCGUGUCACUGCAUG
Molecule: unclassified non-coding RNA, 21 nt
Filed under: Chlamydomonas reinhardtii
Lineage: Eukaryota; Viridiplantae; Chlorophyta; Chlorophyceae; Chlamydomonadales; Chlamydomonadaceae
Description: small RNA Cre_0155
Source: RNAcentral